Non-coding RNA from Pelobates cultripes (western spadefoot toad), 831 nucleotides. The record is from the annotation of a GenBank genome assembly. Lineage: Eukaryota; Metazoa; Chordata; Amphibia; Anura; Pelobatidae.
CACGCAGCAGGAGAUGUGUGCUUAAGUGGAGAGCGUUUGGGUAAGUAGGCAUCUUUAUGUGGCAGAGAGGGCUGGAGCAUGAGGCAUUUUAGUUUCCGCCAGAAGUCAGAGAAGUGUCCAUCUUUGUCGGCACCAGGGAUCCCAGGUGUACAGUGCGGUACCUUGCUUGAGGGACCUGCUCCCCGAUGCAACUUGAGGGUUGGUGUUUGCCGUGUGUCAGUAGCCUGUGUUGUGUUCUCUGGCCUGCUGUGCCUCCGACACCUUCUUCCGCUUCGGGCUUGCCCCUGUUCUGGAGCUGCGGUCUUGCGUUGCAUCUGGAGGGGUAGGCAUCUUGCCUGGGUGUCAUGGUGGAUACUUGUAAUUUGCAGUGGCAGACGUCGAGCCGGCUUGUGCCUGGAUGUCACAUUGCUUUCUGCAGGUUCAGGGAGAGAGCUUUUCUUCCCUCUGGCUUUGGCUCUCAUGUCAUCCGCAAUUUUAAUUGAAGCGCCCGGGCCGCGUUUAAGGGUGGUAGUGUCGCAGGGCUCGGGUUCUGUCGCAGCAGUGUAAGGACUGGGAUCACCCCCACCGGUUCCGAGGAGGGGGAACAGGGCCUGGUCCACACGGCUUUGGGACUCUGGCUGGGCUCUGUUAGGCAGGAUAGUGGAGCAGCGGCCGUCCGCCCCACUCACCGUCUGUCCCAAUCGGGACAUCCAAGACCUCUCCUCCAGGGGACUGCAGGUCGAGGAGCCAGCCUCACCCUGGAUCCAGUUUCUUCUUUGCAUUGAGGACUGUUGCUGGUGGUCAUUAUUGACGGUAAAAAAAUCGUGGUUUUAAGGCUUGAGGUUUGGUAAC